Molecule: small RNA, 255 nt
Filed under: Otolemur garnettii (small-eared galago)
Lineage: Eukaryota; Metazoa; Chordata; Mammalia; Primates; Galagidae
Description: Metazoan signal recognition particle RNA (ENSOGAG00000030302.1)
Source: RNAcentral
GCCGGGCGUUGUGGCGGGCGCCUGUGGUCCCAGCUACUUGGGAGGCAGAGGCAGGAGACUCGCUUGAGCCCAGGAGUUGGAGGUUGCUGUGAGCUGUAAUGCCACGGUACUCUGCCCAGGGGGACAGCUUGAGACUCUGUCUCAAAAAAAAAAAAAAAAAAAAAAAAGAGACAGAGUCUCACUUUGUCACCUUCAGUAGAGUGCCGUGGUGUCACAGAAACCUCUAGCUCUUGGGAUUAGGCGAUUCUCUUGCCU